GAGCAGGAAUGGGAGGAUCAUUUGGCGAAGGAGGAGUACCAUAAGGAGGAUAUGGAGGACUUGGAUGAUAUGGAGGAGGGGGAUUUGGUGGAUACGGACAAUACGGAGGAUGAUGUUUCAGGACUUGGUAAAUUGGCCAAAAGGACCAAACAGACCAAUCAUUGCCAAGAAAGAAGAAGUCUAUUCGAGAAUGUCUAUUAGUUUAGAAUAAAAACCAAACACAUUGCAGCAAACU
Polypterus senegalus (gray bichir) is the source of this 235-nucleotide long non-coding RNA. RefSeq lists it as uncharacterized. Lineage: Eukaryota; Metazoa; Chordata; Cladistia; Polypteriformes; Polypteridae. The transcript is spliced from 2 exons. The record is from RefSeq and is a predicted model, not a curated record.